GAUGAAGAACGUAGCGAAAUGCGAUAAGUAAUGUGAAUUGCAGAAUCCCGUGAACCAUCGAGUCUUUGAACGCAAGUUGCGCCCGAAGCCAUUAGGCCGAGGGCACGCCUGCCUGGGUGUCACACGUCGUUGCCCCCCCAUCUACUCCUUCGGGAUUGCGGGGGGCGGAUGAUGGCCUCCCGUGCGCCUCGUCGCGCGGUUGGCAUAAAUGCCAAGUCCUCGGCGACGCACGCCACGACAAUCGGUGGUUGCGAAACCUCGGUUGCCCGUCGUGUGCGGUCGUCGCGCAUCGAGGGCUCGAAAAAAUUGCCGGGCUCCGGCUCGGCUUUCAACGCGACCCCAGGUCAGGCGGGGUUACCCGCUGAAUUUAAGCAUAUCAAUAAGCGGAGGA
Molecule: unclassified non-coding RNA, 391 nt
Filed under: soil metagenome
Description: partial contains 5.8S ribosomal RNA, internal transcribed spacer 2, and large subunit ribosomal RNA
Rfam family: 5.8S ribosomal RNA (bases 1-122)
Source: RNAcentral